Non-coding RNA from Serratia marcescens FGI94, 182 nucleotides. Lineage: Bacteria; Pseudomonadati; Pseudomonadota; Gammaproteobacteria; Enterobacterales; Yersiniaceae. The record is from Rfam.
AUUUCUCUGAGAUGUUUGCCAGCGGGCCAGUCCCCUGAGCCGAUAUUUAGUACAAACAGAAUGUAUUGCUCCGCGAUCGGUGAGCAUGCUCGCUUGUCGAGAAGCCUUAAGAUUGCGACGGUACGUUCACCUUGAACCUCGGGUUCAAGGGUUACAGCCUGCGACGGCAUCUCGGAGAUUCC